Molecule: ribosomal RNA, 508 nt
Filed under: uncultured bacterium
Lineage: Bacteria
Description: bacterial SSU rRNA
Rfam family: Bacterial small subunit ribosomal RNA
Source: RNAcentral
CUGGCCUUGACAUGUACCGAAUUUGGGAGAGAUUCCUUAGUGCUCGAAAGAGAGCGGUAACACAGGUGCUGCAUGGCUGUCGUCAGCUCGUGUCGUGAGAUGUUGGGUUAAGUCCCGCAACGAGCGCAACCCUUGCCAAUAAUUGCCAUCAUUUAGUUGGGCACUUUAUUGGGACUGCCGGUGACAAACCGGAGGAAGGUGGGGAUGACGUCAAGUCCUCAUGGCCCUUAUGGCCAGGGCUUCACACGUAAUACAAUGGUCGGUACAGAGGGUUGCCAACCCGCGAGGGGGAGCUAAUCUCAGAAAGCCGAUCGUAGUCCGGAUUGAAGUCUGCAACUCGACUUCAUGAAGUCGGAAUCGCUAGUAAUCGCGGAUCAGCAUGUCGCGGUGAAUACGUUCCCGGGCCUUGUACACACCGCCCGUCACACCAUGGGAGUGGGUUCCACCAGAAGUAGUUAGUCUAACCGCAAGGAGGACGAUUACCACGGUGGGGUUCAUGACUGGGGUG